UACCUGCAGCUCGAGUGGUAACCGCUAUUAUUGGGCCUAAAGCGUCCGUAGCCGGUUUGGUAAAUAUCUGGGUAAAUCGUGAGGCUUAACUUCACGAAUUUCGGAUAGACUGCCAGACUUGGGAUCGGGGGAGGUCAGAGGUACCCCAGGGGUAGCGGUGAAAUGUUGUAAUCCUUGGAGGACCACCGGUAGCGAAGGCGUCUGACUAGAACGAGUCCGACGGUGAGGGACGAAGCCCUGGGGCGCAAACCGGAUUAGAUACCCGGGUAGUCCAGGGUGUAAACUAUGUGGGCUUUGUAUUGGAGGUCCCACGUGGGCGUCCAGUGCAGAAGAGAAGUUGUUAAGCCCACCGCCUGGGAAGUACGGUCGCAAGGCUGAAACUUAAAGGAAUUGGCGGGGGAGCACAGCAACGGGAGGAGCGUGCGGUUU
Molecule: ribosomal RNA, 429 nt
Filed under: uncultured archaeon
Lineage: Archaea
Description: bacterial SSU rRNA
Rfam family: Archaeal small subunit ribosomal RNA
Source: RNAcentral